This 497-nucleotide ribosomal RNA is filed under the name uncultured bacterium. RNAcentral describes it as "partial 16S ribosomal RNA". It matches the Rfam family "Bacterial small subunit ribosomal RNA", at positions 28 to 507 of the family's 1533-position model. The record is from RNAcentral.
GAUGAACGCUGGCGGCGUGCCUAAUACAUGCAAGUCGAGCGAACAGACGAGGAGCUUGCUCCUCUGACGUUAGCGGCGGACGGGUGAGUAACACGUGGAUAACCUACCUAUAAGACUGGGAUAACUUCGGGAAACCGGAGCUAAUACCGGAUAAUAUAUUGAACCGCAUGGUUCAAUAGUGAAAGACGGUUUUGCUGUCACUUAUAGAUGGAUCCGCGCCGCAUUAGCUAGUUGGUAAGGUAACGGCUUACCAAGGCAACGAUGCGUAGCCGACCUGAGAGGGUGAUCGGCGACACUGGAACUGGGACACGGUCCAGACUCCUACGGGAGGCAGCAGUAGGGAAUCUUCCGCAAUGGGCGAAAGCCUGACGGAGCAACGCCGCGUGAGUGAUGAAGGUCUUCGGAUCGUAAAACUCUGUUAUUAGGGAAGAACAAAUGUGUAAGUAACUAUGCACGUCGUGACGGUACCUAAUCAGAAAGCCACGGCUAACUACGUG